AGUGAACGCUGGCGGUAGGCCUAACACAUGCAAGUCGAACGGCAGCACAGGAGAGCUUGCUCUCUGGGUGGCGGGUGGCGGACGGGUGAGGAAUACAUCGGAAUCUACUCUGUCGUGGGGGAUAACGUAGGGAAACUUACGCUAAUACCGCAUACGACCUACGGGUGAAAGCAGGGGACCUUCGGGCCUUGCGCGAUUGAAUGAGCCGAUGUCGGAUUAGCUAGUUGGCGGAGUAAAGGCCCACCAAGGCGACGAUCCGUAGCUGGUCUGAGAGGAUGAUCAGCCACACUGGAACUGAGACACGGUCCAGACUCCUACGGGAGGCAGCAGUGGGGAAUAUUGGACAAUGGGCGCAAGCCUGAUCCAGCCAUACCGCGUGGGUGAAGAAGGCCUUCGGGUUGUAAAGCCCUUUUGUUGGGAAAGAAAUCCAGCUGGCUAAUACCCGGUUGGGACGACGGUACCCAAAGAAUAAGCACCGGCUAACUUCGUGCAGCAGCCGCGGUAA
RNAcentral lists this ribosomal RNA (505 nucleotides) under uncultured bacterium. RNAcentral describes it as "partial 16S ribosomal RNA". It matches the Rfam family "Bacterial small subunit ribosomal RNA", at positions 29 to 523 of the family's 1533-position model. The record is from RNAcentral.